Molecule: ribosomal RNA, 253 nt
Filed under: uncultured bacterium
Lineage: Bacteria
Description: partial 16S ribosomal RNA
Rfam family: Bacterial small subunit ribosomal RNA
Source: RNAcentral
UACGAAGGGGGCUAGCGUUGCUCGGAAUUACUGGGCGUAAAGCGCACGUAGGCGGAUACUUAAGUCAGGGGUGAAAUCCCGGGGCUCAACCCCGGAACUGCCUUUGAUACUGGGUAUCUCGAGUCCGGAAGAGGUGAGUGGAAUUCCGAGUGUAGAGGUGAAAUUCGUAGAUAUUCGGAGGAACACCAGUGGCGAAGGCGGCUCACUGGUCCGGUACUGACGCUGAGGUGCGAAAGCGUGGGGAGCAAACAGG